Molecule: long non-coding RNA, 1442 nt
Organism: Pygocentrus nattereri (red-bellied piranha)
Lineage: Eukaryota; Metazoa; Chordata; Actinopteri; Characiformes; Serrasalmidae
Exons: 4
Source: RefSeq, a predicted model, not a curated record
GACAGUGGCUCAUCUGUUGCUGCACAUUUUGUGUUGGUCGUCCUUCAUCAGGGCUCACGGGACGCUGCCCACAAGAACGUGCUGGCUGGAUGUUUUUGGUUGGUGGGCUAUUCUCAUUCCAGCAGUCACACAUCAGAUACGAUGAACACCUGAAGUAAAGAGGCAGCAGCUCCAACGAAGGGCGGACAGAUCUGGAUGUUCUGGAUGAAUCACUUCACUGUUGACCAAAGAAGAAAGAAGAAGGGGGUUUAUUUGAGGUGCUAAAGAUGUUGCAACAUUGCUGUGAGGAUUGCAUUGAGCCACCACAGCCUCAAUGAGGUCAGGCAUUGAUGUUGGAUGGUUAGUUCUGGAUUACAAACACCACUCCAGCUCAUCCAGAACGUAACAGACAGAGCUACCUCUCUCCAGCAAACACAGAUCCAUUGCUCCACAGCCCAAUGGCAGGGGUCUUUGUAUUCCUCGGCUUACGCUUGGAGUUGAGCAUGGUGACCUUUAGUUCAGGCGCAGCUGCUCUGGAGUGUCACAUUCUAUUGGAAAUUAUACAAGCCAUGUGUGCUUAGUAAAAUACCUGUGUCAGCAGUUGUGGGUGCAUCGUAAAGUAGCUGAAUUCCCAUGUUAUGCUACCGGCAUGAAUUAAGCCUAGUCCUGUACUACACAGCAAGCUGAAUUGAUAUUCCAUUGAUAGGAAAAUGUUAUCCAGGAUUACACUUAGUCACUGUCUAGGAAACCGAUCCUUAAUUUAUUAAUAAUUGUGAAAUGCAACUGUUUUCAUUUUGCAGAACCCAAGAAUUAAAUGAAUCCUCCUAUUAUCUUUUGGUUCAUUCAGACCCCAUUCAGUGUUUAAUAUAAAGAAAAUGAUAAACUUUUUUUUGCUUCAUAUUUAUUGAAUUGGGUAAACAUAACAACAGGGUGAGCAAAUGAAUAAACAUAAUAUUAACAGAAUGAUGACGAUGAUACAUUUUCAAUGUCCUGUAUACAUUUUGUACACAUCAGUGUUCUUGGGGGUCAGUUGCUGUUUUAGUUGUAUAAAACAAAUAUCAACAAUUUAUGCACAUUUGCUUUGAAUGAGAGAUUGAUCACAAUAACAUGCAGUUUUAUAAUCUUCAAUAAACUUUGCUUUGUUUUAGGACACUGACCUAACAUAAAUACACCUACAGUAGUGUGAGAACCACUGAUACCUCACAUUUAAUAGGGGAGGGGAAACAUAAUUCUCAUGAGAACUUUGAUAUUUCCCAGAGGUUUGAAUUGCUGGGGUCAGUUCGACCAUAAGGAUGAUGGAUGUCAGUAAAUUUAAAGACAACAGGAGUGAUAAUAGAUACACUUAUAUGUAGUUGUGAGUACUUCCAGGCAAAUGACAAUUGAUUUUGGAAAAGGAAAUAAGUUAUACACACAUAAAUGUGGUAUUUUCUGGCAUUUUCUCAAUGCUUUAUCACUAUUUAAUA